ACGGAAGGCAGCAGUGGGGGAUAUUGCACAAUGGGGGAAACCCUGAUGCAGCGACGCCGCGUGAGUGAAGAAGUAUUUCGGUAUGUAAAGCUCUAUCAGCAGGGAAGAAAAUGACGGUACCUGACUAAGAAGCUCCGGCUAAAUACGUGCCAGCAGCCGCGGUAAUACGUAUGGAGCAAGCGUUAUCCGGAUUUACUGGGUGUAAAGGGAGCGUAGACGGCGAGGCAAGUCUGAUGUGAAAGCCAUGGGCCCAACCCAUGAACUGCAUUGGAAACUGUCUUGCUUGAGUGUCGGAGAGGUAAGCGGAAUUCCUAGUGUAGCGGUGAAAUGCGUAGAUAUUAGGAGGAACACCAGUGGCGAAGGCGGCUUACUGGACGAUAACUGACGUUGAGGCUCGAAAGCGUGGGGAGCAAACAGGAUUAGAUACCCUGGUA
Molecule: ribosomal RNA, 434 nt
Filed under: uncultured bacterium
Lineage: Bacteria
Description: partial 16S ribosomal RNA
Rfam family: Bacterial small subunit ribosomal RNA
Source: RNAcentral